RNAcentral lists this ribosomal RNA (460 nucleotides) under uncultured bacterium. Its description in RNAcentral is "partial 16S ribosomal RNA". It matches the Rfam family "Bacterial small subunit ribosomal RNA", at positions 338 to 795 of the family's 1533-position model. The record is from RNAcentral.
CCUACGGGAGGCAGCAGUGAGGAAUAUUGGUCAAUGUACGCAAGGCUGAACCAGCCAUGCCGCGUGCAGGAAGACGGCUCUAUGAGUUGUAAACUUCUUUUGUACGAGGGUAAACGCAGAUACGCGUAUCUGUCUGAAAGUAUCGUACGAAUAAGGAUCGGCUAACUCCGUGCCAGCAGCCGCGGUAAUACGGAGGAUUCAAGCGUUAUCCGGAUUUAUUGGGUUUAAAGGGUGCGUAGGCGGUCGGAUAAGUUAGAGGUGAAAUCCCGAGGCUCAACUUCGGAAUUGCCUCUGAUACUGGUCGGCUAGAGAGUAGUUGAGGUAGGCGGAAUGUAUGGUGUAGCGGUGAAAUGCUUAGAGAUUAUACAGAACACCGAUUGCGAAGGCAGCUUACCAAGCUACUUCUGACGUUGAGGCACGAAAGCGUGGGGAGCAAACAGGAUUAGAUACCCCUGUAGUC